RNAcentral lists this ribosomal RNA (468 nucleotides) under uncultured bacterium. RNAcentral's name for it is "partial 16S ribosomal RNA". It matches the Rfam family "Bacterial small subunit ribosomal RNA", at positions 28 to 507 of the family's 1533-position model. The record is from RNAcentral.
GACGAACGCUGGCGGCGUGCUUAACACAUGCAAGUCGAACGGAAAGGCCCUGCUUUUGUGGGGUGCUCGAGUGGCGAACGGGUGAGUAACACGUGAGUAACCUGCCCUUGACUUUGGGAUAACUUCAGGAAACUGGGGCUAAUACCGGGUAGGAGCUCCUGCUGCAUGGUGGGGGUUGGAAAGUUUCGGCGGUUGGGGAUGGACUCGCGGCUUAUCAGCUUGUUGGUGGGGUAGUGGCUUACCAAGGCUUUGACGGGUAGCCGGCCUGAGAGGGUGACCGGCCACAUUGGGACUGAAAGACGGCCAACACUCCUAGGGGAGGCAGAAGGGGGGAAUAUUGAACAAGGGGGGGAAGCCUGAUGCAGCACCGCGGCGUGCGGGAUGAGGGCCUGCGGGUUGUAACCCGCUUUCGCCGGUGACGAAGGGGGGGGGAGGGUAAGGGGUAAAGAAGCCCCGGAAAACUACGUG